This 305-nucleotide ribosomal RNA is filed under the name uncultured bacterium. RNAcentral's name for it is "partial 16S ribosomal RNA". It matches the Rfam family "Bacterial small subunit ribosomal RNA", at positions 508 to 807 of the family's 1533-position model. The record is from RNAcentral.
ACAGCAGUAGCCGCGGGAAUACGGAGGGUGCAAGCGUUAAUCGGAAUUACUGGGCGUAAAGCGCACGCAGGCGGUCUGACAAGUCAGAUGUGAAAUCCCCGGGCUUAACCUGGGAACUGCAUUUGAAACUGUCAGGCUGGAGUCUUGUAGAGGGGGGUGGAAUUCCAGGUGUAGCGGUGAAAUGCGUAGAGAUCUGGAGGAAUACCGGUGGCGAAGGCGGCCCCCUGGACAAAGACUGACGCUCAGGUGCGAAAGCGUGGGGAGCAAACAGGAUUAGAUACCCGAGUAGUCCCUGUCUCUUAUAC